This 253-nucleotide ribosomal RNA is filed under the name uncultured bacterium. RNAcentral describes it as "partial 16S ribosomal RNA". It matches the Rfam family "Bacterial small subunit ribosomal RNA", at positions 524 to 776 of the family's 1533-position model. The record is from RNAcentral.
UACAGAGGUCCCAAGCGUUGUUCGGAUUCACUGGGCGUAAAGGGUGCGUAGGCGGUCUGGAAAGUUGGGUGUGAAAUCCCUCGGCUCAACCGAGGAACUGCGCUUGAAACUACCAGACUCGAGGGAGAUAGAGGAAAGCGGAACUGAUGGUGGAGCGGUGAAAUGCGUAGAUAUCAGGAGGAAUACCGAUGGCGAAGGCAGGUCUCUGGGCUGACACUGACGCUCAUGCACGAAAGCGUGGGGAGCAAACAGG